GACAGAGGGUGCAAACGUUGUUCGGAAUUACUGGGCGUAAAGCGCGUGUAGGCGGCCAUGCAAGUCGGAUGUGAAAUCUCAGGGCUCAACCCUGAAACUGCAUUCGAUACUGCGCGGCUAGAGUGCUGGAGGGGAGACUGGAAUUUACGGUGUAGCAGUGAAAUGCGUAGAUAUCGUAAGGAAGGCCGGUGGCGAAAGCGAGCCUCUGGACAGUUACUGACGCUGAUGCACGAAGGCCAGGGGAGCAAACGGG
RNAcentral lists this ribosomal RNA (253 nucleotides) under uncultured bacterium. RNAcentral's name for it is "partial 16S ribosomal RNA". It matches the Rfam family "Bacterial small subunit ribosomal RNA", at positions 524 to 776 of the family's 1533-position model. The record is from RNAcentral.